Molecule: ribosomal RNA, 301 nt
Filed under: uncultured bacterium
Lineage: Bacteria
Description: partial 16S ribosomal RNA
Rfam family: Bacterial small subunit ribosomal RNA
Source: RNAcentral
CAGCCGCCGCGGUAAAACAGAGGGUGCAAGCGUUAAUCGGAAUUGCUGGGCGUAAAGCGCGCGUAGGUGGUUUGUUAAGUUGGAUGUGAAAUCCCCGGGCUCAACCUGGGAACUGCAUCCAAAACUGGCAAGCUAGAGUAUGGUAGAGGGUGGUGGAAUUUCCUGUGUAGCGGUGAAAUGCGUAGAUAUAGGAAGGAACACCAGUGGCGAAGGCGACCACCUGGACUGAUACUGACACUGAGGUGCGAAAGCGUGGGGAGCAAACAGGAUUAGAUACCCCCGUAGUCCCUGUCUCUUAUAC